GACGAACCGUGCGAACGUUAUUCGGAAUCACUGGGCUUAAAGGGCGCGUAGGCGGGCUCCCAAGUCUGCGGUGAAAGCCUCCAGCUUAACUGGAGAAGUGCCGUGGAUACUGGGAGUCUCGAGGAGGGUAGGGGCAUCUGGAACGUUGGGUGGAGCGGUGAAAUGCGUUGAUAUCCAACGGAACUCCGGUGGCGAAGGCGAGGUGCUGGACCCUUUCUGACGCUGAGGCGCGAAAGCCAGGGGAGCGAACGGG
RNAcentral lists this ribosomal RNA (253 nucleotides) under uncultured bacterium. RNAcentral describes it as "partial 16S ribosomal RNA". It matches the Rfam family "Bacterial small subunit ribosomal RNA", at positions 524 to 776 of the family's 1533-position model. The record is from RNAcentral.